CAGAUCUGCACUAGUAGUGGCAGUUAGUCCAGUUCAAUUGCUAAAAAAGGCCCUCAGGAUCCAAUUCCUAAACCUAUUAAAUUUCUUGUUACUUAGUGACUUUAUCACAGAGGGGCUUAGGAAUAUGUUCCAGGUUGUCAGGAAAAAAGAGCAUAAUUUUCUUUUUCUUUCAUUUUGCAGAUGGAGGAACAGAUUGCUUGGUUGGCUUACAAGACACCUAGCCUGCAAGUGGCAGAGUCACGAUUUCAAUGCAGCCCUGUCGGAGCCGGGGAUCUGACAACAGACUGGCUCACCGGCGGCAGACAGUUCUCCGUGAGAAGGGGAGAAGGUUAGCUAAUCGAGGACCAGCAUACAUGUUU
Molecule: small RNA, 359 nt
Filed under: Pan troglodytes (chimpanzee)
Lineage: Eukaryota; Metazoa; Chordata; Mammalia; Primates; Hominidae
Description: processed transcript
Source: RNAcentral